This 484-nucleotide ribosomal RNA is filed under the name uncultured bacterium. Its description in RNAcentral is "bacterial SSU rRNA". It matches the Rfam family "Bacterial small subunit ribosomal RNA", at positions 29 to 487 of the family's 1533-position model. The record is from RNAcentral.
AACUAACGCUGGCGGCGUGCCUAACACAUGCAAGUCGUACGAGAAAGCCGGCUUCGGCUGGUGAGUAAAGUGGCGCACGGGUGAGUAACGCGUGGAUAAUCUGCCCUUAAGUGUGGAAUAACGUACCGAAAGGUGCGCUAAUACCGCAUAAUGCCUGGCAACACAAGUUGUCCGGCCAAAGAAGGCCUCUGUUUACAAGCUUUCGCUUCAGGAUGAGUCCGCGUACCAUUAGCUUGUUGGUGGGGUAAUGGCCUACCAAGGCUGCGAUGGUUAGCUGGUCUGAGAGGAUGAUCAGCCACACUGGAACUGAGACACGGUCCAGACUCCUACGGGAGGCAGGCAGUGAGGAAUAUUGCGCAAUGGGGCAACCCUGACGCAGCAACGCCGCGUGAGUGAGGAAGGUUUUCGGGACUGUAAAGCUCUGUCGAGCGGGAAGAAGUGUACCAUGGCUAAUAUCCAUGAUAUUUGACGGUACCGCUAGAGG